UACGUAGGUGGCAAGCGUUACUCGGAAUCACUAGGCGUAAAGCGCAGGUAGGCGGUUUGAUAAGUCUGUUGUGAAAGCUCCCGGCUCAACUGGGAGAGGCCAACGGAAACUGUCAGGCUUGAGUGUGGUAGAGGAAACUGGAAUUCCUGGUGUAGCGGUGAAAUGCGUUGAUAUCAUCAGGAAUACCGGAGGCGAAGGCGGCUCACUGGGGCUUUUCUGACGCUGAGGAACGAAAGCCAGGGUAGCGAACGGG
RNAcentral lists this ribosomal RNA (253 nucleotides) under uncultured prokaryote. RNAcentral describes it as "partial 16S ribosomal RNA". It matches the Rfam family "Bacterial small subunit ribosomal RNA", at positions 524 to 776 of the family's 1533-position model. The record is from RNAcentral.